CUGCUAGCCAGGAAUCCAGAGCAGA
RNAcentral lists this non-coding RNA (25 nucleotides) under Rattus norvegicus (Norway rat). The record is from RNAcentral. Lineage: Eukaryota; Metazoa; Chordata; Mammalia; Rodentia; Muridae.